RNAcentral lists this long non-coding RNA (300 nucleotides) under Mytilus galloprovincialis (Mediterranean mussel). Lineage: Eukaryota; Metazoa; Mollusca; Bivalvia; Mytilida; Mytilidae. The record is from RNAcentral.
AACUUCAGUAUUGUUAGUGAUUCUAAAAUAUUUGUUUAUCAAUAUUCUUACUGGUUCCGCCUUAUCAUUAUUGUUUUGAAAGAGAAAGAAGAUUUGUAUUGGAUUAUCAAGUCAUUAUCUUCUCGGAAUUUUUGAAUGCCUUCAAUUCCCUUUGUUCUGAUAACAAAUUGACACUGUUUUCCAGACCACAUCAAAUGGCAAGAUUCGAGUUCGUGUAUGUCUUUAACUCCUUAUUUAAUGUAAUUGCAUUCGGUACAAGCAACUCCGACAUCAGGUUCGGUUGGCGACACAAUAGUGCAA